AGGCCACUGCUAUCAGAGUUCGAUUAAGCCAUGCGAGUCGAGAGGUGUAAGACCUCGGCAUACUGCUCAGUAACACGUGGACAACCUACCCUAAGGAGGGGGAUAACCCCGGGAAACUGGGGAUAAUACCCCAUAGACUAUGGAUGCUGGAAUGCUUCGUAGUUCAAAGGUCCGCCGCCUUAGGAUGGGUCUGCGGCCGAUUAGGUUGUUGUUGGGGUAACGGCCCAACAAGCCUGUAAUCGGUACGGGUUGUGGGAGCAAGAGCCCGGAGAUGGAUUCUGAGACACGAAUCCAGGCCCUACGGGGCGCAGCAGGCGCGAAAACUUUACAAUGCGAGAAAUCGUGAUAAGGGAACUCUGAGUGCCCGUAAAAUCGGGCUGUCCAUCUGUUUAAAUAACAGGUGAAGAAAGGGCCGGGCAAGACCGGUGCCAGCCGCCGCGGUAAUACCGGCGGCUCGAGUGGUGGCCACUAUUACUGGGCUUAAAGCGUCCGUAGCUGGUCUGUUAAGUCUCUGGGGAAAUCUUCCGGCUCAACCGGAAGGCGUCUCAGGGAUACUGGCAGACUAGGGACCGGGAGAGGUGAGAGGUACUCCAGGGGUAGGAGUGAAAUCCUGUAAUCCUUGGGGGACCACCUGUGGCGAAGGCGUCUCACCAGAACGGCUCCGACAGUGAGGGACGAAAGCUGGGGGAGCAAACCGGAUUAGAUACCCGGGUAGUCCCAGCCGUAAACGAUGCGCGUUAGGUGUAUCGGUGACCACGAGUCACCGAGGUGCCGAAGAGAAAUCGUGAAGCGCGCCGCCUGGGAAGUACGGUCGCAAGGCUGAAACUUAA
Molecule: ribosomal RNA, 830 nt
Filed under: uncultured archaeon
Lineage: Archaea
Description: bacterial SSU rRNA
Rfam family: Archaeal small subunit ribosomal RNA
Source: RNAcentral